CGGACCAAGUAGAAGCACCCGCUUCUCACCUGUAGCGACGCAUAAAGCAGUUGGCAGGUAAACGAUAACAUGUGAAAGAAGUUCAUGUGAAUUUAGAAGCGGGGACAUAGACUGUCCUCGCUUCUUUUUUGUACU
Non-coding RNA from Staphylococcus chromogenes, 135 nucleotides. The record is from Rfam. NCBI's taxonomy places the organism in Bacteria, Bacillati, Bacillota, Bacilli, Caryophanales, Staphylococcaceae.